GCGCGAAAACUUUGCAAUGCGGGAAACCGUGACAAGGGAACUCCGAGUGCCCGUAAAUUCGGGCUGUCCGCCAGUGUAAAAAACUGGUGAAGAAAGGGCCGGGCAAGACCGGUGCCAGCCGCCGCGGUAAUACCGGCGGCUCGAGUGGUGGCCACUAUUACUGGGCUUAAAGCGUUCGUAGCUGGUCUGUUAAGUCUCUGGGGAAAUCUUCCGGCUUAACCGGAAGGCGUCUCAGGGAUACUGGCAGACUAGGGACCGGAAGAGGUGAGGGGUACUCCAGGGGUAGGAGUGAAAUCCUGUAAUCCUUGGGGGACCACCUGUGGCGAAGGCGCCUCACCAGAACGGCUCCGACAGUGAGGAACGAAAGCUGGGGGAGCAAACCGGAUUAGAUACCCGGGUAGUCCCAGCUGUAAACGAUGCGCGUUAGGUGUAUCGGUGACCACGAGUCACCGAGGUGCCGAAGAGAAAUCGUGAAACGUGCCGCCUGGGAAGUACGGUCGCAAGGCUGAAACUUAAAGGAAUUGGCGGGGGA
This 532-nucleotide ribosomal RNA is filed under the name uncultured Methanomicrobiales archaeon. RNAcentral's name for it is "bacterial SSU rRNA". It matches the Rfam family "Archaeal small subunit ribosomal RNA", at positions 339 to 875 of the family's 1478-position model. Lineage: Archaea; Methanobacteriati; Methanobacteriota; Methanomicrobia; Methanomicrobiales. The record is from RNAcentral.